This is a long non-coding RNA of Mauremys mutica (yellowpond turtle), 412 nucleotides long. RefSeq lists it as uncharacterized. The record is from RefSeq and is a predicted model, not a curated record. The transcript has 4 exons. Lineage: Eukaryota; Metazoa; Chordata; Testudines; Geoemydidae.
AAUGAAGGAGGGUCCAGAAGGUCUCUUAAGCAGGGGCAAAGUGUAACUACUCAUUUUCAACCAUACCACUUAGUUUUUCUUCUGAGAAGUAGAAAUGGGCUUUGAGAUCAGUGGCUCUGGGCCGAACACAUGCCUGAUGUAAUUCUACUGAAAUCCAUGACUGAAUGCAAUCCAGCAACACAUUUGGCUUAACUGCUUUUCGUGGCUUAUGGAUGGUGGAAAGGUAUACUGACAGGUGUCUAAGAAACUGCAAGUUUAUUAGACAUCAGUUCGAAAUGGAGAGAGAAGGCCAAAUUCUGCUCUCAGUUACAGUGGAGUAAGCCUGGGGUACAGAAACUUCAGUGAAGUCAAGAGAUUGAUGAUGAGAAAAUCUGAUCAGUUUUACCAGUGCUGUUCAGAAUUUUGCAGUGGA